This is a long non-coding RNA of Syngnathus acus (greater pipefish), 891 nucleotides long. RefSeq lists it as uncharacterized. NCBI's taxonomy places the organism in Eukaryota, Metazoa, Chordata, Actinopteri, Syngnathiformes, Syngnathidae. The record is from RefSeq and is a predicted model, not a curated record. The transcript is spliced from 3 exons.
GUUUGGCGUGUCCCAGUCCAGCCACAACCAGCCAACGUAGAGCAGCGCCGCCACCCACCAGGCAGAGAAAGACAGGAGGAUGAAGGUGGCCAGACAGCAUUGGGCUGAGGGACAGACAGAGCAGAUUGGAAAAAAUUGGUAAAGUGACGUCUACUAGCAGUCCGAUCCUUGGACAGCAGAUGGCGAGCAAGGUAAAACAGCUCAUAGGUCAGCACGCACAAGCCAAAGAAGACCACGAAGAAUGCAAACGCGGGACUCGGCCACAGUUUACUGUUACAGAUACAGACUCGUCAUACACAGACCCGAUGGGAGACAUCUUGACCCAGGACAGUUAGUGGACAGGGAUGUCAGUCCUUGUGAACUUGGACAAGCGUCUGGGCCCCACGUGGAUCUGAUUAUGCCUGGAACCACAUGAACAGAUGAAUGUCUGGGCCAGAACUACCAUAUCAGCAGGCCAGUGUCCAGGAGCCUCCUGCAGGAGGCAUGUUCCGGGGCAGCCAAUCCACAUUUGGGGAAAGAUCCGCAACGGACUCUUUUGAGCUUGGGUUUUACUUCUUAAGAUCCUUAACCCACAUGGUCAUGAAGGCUGCUUAUGAAAUGUUAACAUUUAUUAUAUCUUAGAGUUUGGAACUGAGCCCUGAAAAUUCAGACGCAAUAAAUCUCCCUUUCAAUAAAUUAAAACAUUUACACAAAAUUAACACAAACUCAUCUUCUAACAUUUUCCUUGUGAAUUAACGUCUUUCAGAUAUUUUGAUUUUGAAAAAAUGCAUAAGAGGUCCGAGGACACUGGGGUUUAUGUCACUUUGCAGCCUGUAAAAAUACCAAUUACUACUUUCCUAUUAGAGAUUGAUCAUGGUUUUGACUCGGUGAAAUAUACGUUACCAUUCCAGA